Long non-coding RNA from Equus caballus (horse), 1984 nucleotides. Lineage: Eukaryota; Metazoa; Chordata; Mammalia; Perissodactyla; Equidae. The record is from Ensembl.
CUUCCACUCGGUCGCGGUCUGUGAAGUAGGGUGGGGUCGGUGUGGCUGCAGCCCGAAGAGGUCAGGUCAAAAGACGAAAUGUGAAAAGCAGCGAAAGAAAGCAGAGGCAUGAAUGAGGCACUGCACACUUGCUCCGAAGAUCUGUUGGGAUAAAUGUUGUGUCCAACUGUAAAGGCAAGAGGAGAGGGAGAGCCUGGGAAGGCCCAGGACAGCAUACUUUGGUGUGCCACAUUCGGCAGUCUCCACCUCUGUAUUCCUGGCUUUUUUCUUUCCUGACCAAGCGUAUGGAGAAGCCCUGCUUUUUGCGUGAUACCUUCUUUCUCUCCAAAUGCUACUAACCCGCAGCUGGCCAUGGGUGUGUUCAUACGUGGGGACCCCACGGAGAGUAUGGUCACAGCAGCCCCUGCAUGCUGGCUCUUUGGGGUCAGGUCGGAAGGAGGUACCCUUUCCAGGAACAAGGAAGCCUGACGCCUGGCUUCUCUGGGAAGCUCUGUGUCCAGCGCCAGCUCCAUGUCUGGGCUAGCCGGCUGCUUCUUGCCUCUCACCCCAUUUACCCUUCACUCACCUUCUGCACACCAGCUGCAUUCCUGGGCACAAUAAGCCUUUCCCAACCAGCAGAAAUGACUGAGACGCCUCUCCUGUGCUGGGGAGAAAAUUGGAUCCACGUUCUCAAACAACAGGAGGAGAGAACCUGAGGCAGCAGGAGGUUCCCUAGCUGGUUCUCUUGCCUCAGCCAUUUGAGGGGCCCGGCUCAGAAGCCUUGAAUCCCCGCUCCUCCAUGAGGGGCCUAUGUUGAGUGCGGCUCAUGAAGCUGGCCAAGUUGGUGUCUCUCCCACUACUCCUCAGGGAUCAACAGGAAUAUCCUGUGGAGUUGCUUUGACCCAGAAGAGACACCAGCAAAUAUUCCAGGAGAAGCCCGGACUCUGCGCACUGGACCACUUCGGAACGACGCUUCCGUCAGCCCAUCCUUCCCUAGGAAGACCUUGGAGAGAAGAGGCAUGAUGGAAGAGAAUGUGCUCUUCACUGGCAGUAAAAAUUCUACUUUUCUCUGACUUGCCUCGCUGUCGCCCUUCUCUCCCUCAUUCUAACACCUCUAGGAUAGAAGGCCAGUGGUCUUGCUUUCCUUGCAGAUUUUUUGUCUAUGGCUUCCCUUCUUUCAGUGGCCAUUUUUUCACAUAUCCACAAAUUACUACUAGAAUGGUAUUCACAUGAGCCUUUUCCCCAAUGCUGUGGUUUGAAAUUGCCCAAAUGUCCAUCAUUUCGGGUGUCGUUUACAUUGGUGUAAAGCUUAACAUUUACACCAAAAUUAAGGUGUGACGAACGCAAUAACGUACAUAUAUAUCAAAGAUAUAAGGUUGCUUGAUAAGAGCUAGACUGAAAAAGUGUACAUCCUUUUGUGUGAAUUUGAAGAAAGGACAAGCCUAAUCUGUGAGGGUAGACAUCUGAAUAGUUAUAAAAUAGCAGGGGAUGAAGGCAUUACCUGGAAAGUGUAUCAAAGGGCCAUGCUUAGAUGAUAGAAAAUUUCUGUAUGUUAUGAUCCUGUUGAAGGUUGCAUAUUUCAAUAUUCAUAUAGCUGUCCAUUUGUCCAUUAGAGAUUUGUGCAUUUUGUUCUGUGAAUACACAUUAAUAAUUCCCUUAAAGGAUAAAAAUUGGCCGUCGGAUUUCAGAGACUGCAACGGAGACCACGACCAGUUUGGAGUAAUUGUUAACUCUUUAAAACCUCUUCUUUUUGUGUGUAAAAAAGCCUCGCUGAUGUUUGAAAUGUUUCCACUAAAAAACCCCUAGUAGGGGCUGGCCCCGUGGCCGAGUGGUUAAGUUUGCGCGCUCUGCUGCAAGCGGCCCAGUGUUUCGUUGGUUCGAAUCCUGGGUGCGGACAUGGCACUGCUCAUCAGACCAUGCUGAGGCAGCGUCCCACAUGCCACAACUAGAAGGACCCACAACGAAGAAUAUACAACUAUGUACUGGGGGGCUUUGGGGAGAAAAA